RNAcentral lists this long non-coding RNA (1961 nucleotides) under Calidris pugnax (ruff). RNAcentral's name for it is "lncRNA (ENSCPUG00000005637.1)". Lineage: Eukaryota; Metazoa; Chordata; Aves; Charadriiformes; Scolopacidae. The record is from RNAcentral.
GUCCCCUGCUGGCGGCAGAAACAGUUAAGAAGCCAGGUCCCGGAUCCUCGCAGGUAAGGUGAGGGGUGGUUCCUCGCUCUGCUCCCCUGCACGGCACUGUGUCAGCAUCAUCAUGGAAUCAUCGUGGAACAGCUUGGGUGGGAAGGGACCCUACAGCCCCCCCAGUGCCACCCCCUACCCUGGGCAGGGACACUUCCCACCAGAGCAGGUUGCUCCAAGCCCCAUCCAACCUGCCCUUGAACCCCUCCAGGGAUGGGGCAGCCAACAACAGUGUCUACGCCGAGUCCUGGACCAAGGCUGCUGCCGAAUGGCGGAACCGGGGGGCUCGUGUCCCCCAGCCACCGGCACUGCGGACGGAGCAUGCGGUGGCCCUCCUGGUGUACACCCUGCAUGGAGGAUUUUACCAGACCUUCAACGGGGCCGUGUGUGAGGCCGGGCGCUCCCGCAGGGAAUACCUGGACAAAUUCCAGUUCAAGGUGCUGCAUUUCCUCAUGACCCAGGCCCUGAACAUCCUGCAGAACGCCCAGUCCCGCCGCUGCCACCAGGUCUACCGGGGUGUCCAGGGCAUCCGCUUCACCGCCCGGCGCCAAGAUCUCGUCCGCUUCGGCCAAUUCACCUCCACCUCCCUCCGGAACAAGAGUGCCCUGGACUUUGGGCAGGACACCUUCUUCUCGGUCUACACCUGCUACGGCGUCCCCAUCAGGGACUUCUCCUUCUACUCUGACGAGGAUGAGGUCCUCAUCCCACCCUUUGAGAGAUUCAAGGUCACCAACAUCACCAACACGGGGACAGAGCCUGCAUCCAGCUCCACUCCCAGGACACAUUCAGCACCUACAACUGUGAAUGGCUGAAAGGUGACAUCCCCCGUGAUGGUCCCUCCAUCCCCUGGGAGGGUCCCUCGAUCUUCAGGAUGGUCCCUCUAACUCCCAGUACAUUGCCUACAUCCCCUGGGAUGAUUCCUCCAUCCCCUGGGAUGGUCCCUCCUCCCCCAGAAUGGUCCUUCCAUCCUCUGAAAUGGUCCCUCCAUCCCCUGGGACGGUCCCUCCAUCAUUCUGGAAUGGUCUCUCCAUCCUCAGAACAUCACUCCAUCCUCUGGAUGGUGCCUCCAUCGCCCAGAAUGGUUCACUCAUGCCCCAGGACGGUCCCUCCAUCCCCAGGAACGGUCCCUCCAUCCUUGGGAUGGUUGCUCCAUCCUCCAAGAUGGUCUCUCCAACCCCUGGGAUGGUCUCUCCAUUGCCUGGGACAGUCCCUCCAUCCUCUGAGUCAGUCACUCCAUUCCUUGGAAUGGUUCCUCUGUUCCCUGGGACAUUCCCUUCAUCCUCAGGAUGGACCCACCAUCCCUCAGGACAGUCUCUCCAUCCUUGGGAUGGACCCUCCAUCCCUGUGGAUGGUCACUCCAUUCCUUGGGUCAGUCCAUCCAUCCCCUGGAACGGUCCCUUCCCACCACCAGCUGCAGGGGACAGAGGAAGGGAGUUGCCCCAUCCCACCAGCUCUGCUGGGAGAGGGGGACCUCAAUUGUGGGGAGGGGGACGGGGGGAGCUUAUCUUCAGCUGGGCGUCCUUGCACAUCUCCCACCCGUUCUCCCCAGGGUUUGCACUGGGGGCCCUUGGUGGCACGGCACAGCGUGUCACGGGGCAGGAAGAGCAUGGCACAGCAUGGCAUGGUAUGGCGUGGUGGGGGGCAUCAGGGCACAGCACAGCAUGGCACAAGACAGCUUGGCAUGUUACGGCAUGGCAUGGCAUGGGACACCACAGCAUGACAUUACAUGGUACAGCGUAGCGUGGCACGGCACAGAAUGGGACGGCAGAGCGUGGCACGGCUCGGCUGGUGAAACCUGGGCAGCAGCACAUUAAAAGGAACUCAUCUGGGUCUGGAGGAGAAAGAGGAAGAGGUGGGGGGUGGACAGACACAACUGGAGGAAACCAUCUAGAAUAAAUAGAGGAAAACAUCGAGAUUAAACA